RNAcentral lists this ribosomal RNA (478 nucleotides) under uncultured bacterium. Its description in RNAcentral is "partial 16S ribosomal RNA". It matches the Rfam family "Bacterial small subunit ribosomal RNA", at positions 28 to 507 of the family's 1533-position model. The record is from RNAcentral.
GAUGAACGCUGGCGGCGUGCCUAACACAUGCAAGUCGAACGGAGUCCAGCCUUUAAGACCUUCGGGUCAAAGAGGGGAAGACUGAGUGGCGGACGGGUGAGUAACACGUGGGCAACCUGGCUCAUAGAGGGGGAUAACAGAGAGAAAUUUCUGCUAAUACCGCAUAAGCACACCCUGCCGCAUGGCAGAGGGUGAAAAGAGAAUCGCUAUGAGAUGGACCCGCGUCUGAUUAGCCAGUUGGCAGGGUAAGAGCCUACCAAAGCGACGAUCAGUAGCCGAUCUGAGAGGAUGAACGGCCACAUUGGGACUGAGACACGGCCCAAACUCCUACGGGAGGCAGCAGUGGGGGAUAUUGCACAAUGGGGGGAACCCUGAUGCAGCGACGCCGCGUGAGUGAAGAAGUAUUUCGGUAUGUAAAGCUCUAUCAGCAGGGAAGAUAAUGACAGUACCUGAAUAAGAAGCCACGGCUAACUACGUG